GACAGAGGUAGCCCCGCUAAAAUCGCAACGUCCUGUUGCAACGCAGGACGCAUACAUCCUGUAUG
Molecule: small RNA, 65 nt
Organism: Tumebacillus algifaecis
Lineage: Bacteria; Bacillati; Bacillota; Bacilli; Caryophanales; Alicyclobacillaceae
Rfam family: Bacillaceae-1 RNA
Source: Rfam